Molecule: ribosomal RNA, 224 nt
Filed under: Staphylococcus aureus
Lineage: Bacteria; Bacillati; Bacillota; Bacilli; Caryophanales; Staphylococcaceae
Description: partial 16S ribosomal RNA
Rfam family: Bacterial small subunit ribosomal RNA
Source: RNAcentral
UUUAUGGAGAGUUUGAUCCUGGCUCAGGAUGAACGCUGGCGGCGUGCCUAAUACAUGCAAGUCGAGCGAACGGACGAGAAGCUUGCUUCUCUGAUGUUAGCGGCGGACGGGUGAGUAACACGUGGAUAACCUACCUAUAAGACUGGGAUAACUUCGGGAAACCGUAGCUAAUACCGGAUAAUAUUUUGAACCGCAUGGUUCAAAAGUGAAAGACGGUCUUGCUG